This 221-nucleotide long non-coding RNA is filed under the name Mytilus galloprovincialis (Mediterranean mussel). The record is from RNAcentral. Lineage: Eukaryota; Metazoa; Mollusca; Bivalvia; Mytilida; Mytilidae.
UGUAACCUCAGGUGAACUUUAUGUACCACUAGCGUAAAACAGUGUAUGAAUACUAUAGCGGUUGUAGAUCGAUUAUUACAAGAUUAUUGUAUUAAAACUAUAUUGUUUGUGAUUGUAAAUUGUACUAAGAUGAUUUUUAUGUUCCGUAAACAUGUUGUUUACGUUCUAAUGUACUUAAUUCUAGCAAUCGGGGAUUAUUUUCGUUCUUGUCAGGCCCGUUC